UACGUAGGGGGCAAGCGUUGUCCGGAUUUAUUGGGCGUAAAGAGCGUGUAGGCGGCUUUACAGGUCCGUUGUGAAAACUCGAGGCUCAACCUCGAGACGCCGGUGGAAACCGUAAGGCUAGAGUCCGGAAGAGGAGAGUGGAAUUCCUGGUGUAGCGGUGAAAUGCGCAGAUAUCAGGGGGAACACCCGUGGCGAAAGCGGCUCUCUGGGACGGUACUGACGCUGAGACGCGAAAGCGUGGGGAGCAAACAGG
Molecule: ribosomal RNA, 253 nt
Filed under: uncultured bacterium
Lineage: Bacteria
Description: partial 16S ribosomal RNA
Rfam family: Bacterial small subunit ribosomal RNA
Source: RNAcentral